Molecule: ribosomal RNA, 497 nt
Filed under: uncultured bacterium
Lineage: Bacteria
Description: partial 16S ribosomal RNA
Rfam family: Bacterial small subunit ribosomal RNA
Source: RNAcentral
GAUGAACGCUGGCGGCGUGCCUAAUACAUGCAAGUCGAGCGAACGGACGAGAAGCUUGCUUCUCUGAUGUUAGCGGCGGACGGGUGAGUAACACGUGGAUAACCUACCUAUAAGACUGGGAUAACUUCGGGAAACCGGAGCUAAUACCGGAUAAUAUUUUGAACCGCAUGGUUCAAAAGUGAAAGACGGUCUUGCUGUCACUUAUAGAUGGAUCCGCGCUGCAUUAGCUAGUUGGUAAGGUAACGGCUUACCAAGGCAACGAUGCAUAGCCGACCUGAGAGGGUGAGCGGCCACACUGGAACUGAGACACGGACCAGACUCCUACGGGAGGCAGCAGUAGGGAAUCUUCCGCAAUGGGCGAAAGCCUGACGGAGCAACGCCGCGUGAGUGAUGAAGGUCGUCGGAUCGUAAAACUCUGUUAUUAGGGAAGAACAAAUGUGUAAGUAACUGUGCACAUCUUGACGGUACCUAAUCAGAAAGCCACGGCUAACUACGUC